This 29333-nucleotide long non-coding RNA is filed under the name Jatropha curcas. RNAcentral's name for it is "long non-coding RNA (JCUR_LNC001152)". Lineage: Eukaryota; Viridiplantae; Streptophyta; Magnoliopsida; Malpighiales; Euphorbiaceae. The record is from RNAcentral.
AAAAAACUGGCAAAACUAUUUGCCCCGACUUUUCUCUGCAUUCAUUUAUCACAACAAGCUCGUCCAAGCACCAUGGAGAAUCUGCAUAGUUUUUGGAGAAUAUGACAAUUGAAAUACAUGAUUCUUGAAUUGUUUGCUUGAGGGCUGGUGUUAUUUCAGUUCCUUUUUUAAGUUUUUCAUCCUUGAAGGUAUCGAUUCCCUUUUCCUUCAAAGAUUCAAAGAGAAAGGAGAGGAAACCGUCGCGGAUGUCUUUGCCUCUGAAAUUAAUAAAAACUUCAUAGUUAUUUAGCUCGGAAGGGGUUUGCUGGGAAAAGGUUGAGGAUGGAGAAGAAGCAGCAUUGGUAUUAAUGAUAAAAGAAGCGGUUCGCUGGGAAGAGGUUGAAGCAGAAGAAGAGAAAGAAGAACCCAUAACGGAAAAUUCAAAUGAUACAAGAAGCCGUAGAACGAGAGUUUUAUAUGUCAAAGUUGGUUGUGGUGUGCCCACUUAAAUGGGACCCAUAUGUGCAAAAGAAAGAAAAAAAAAAAAAAAAGGAAAACGUGUUAUUUGAAAAAGAAGAAAAUUUGGCAAAAGUUGGCAAUUUUUUUUUUGACAAAGUAUGGAGACAUGAAUGAGUUAUACACGACUCAUUCACUGAACUGAUUAUAAAAGGAGGCAGACGAAGUUCAUUUAAAUACAACACAAAUAGGGAGUGAUAGCAAUUGUGAGAAAUAGCAAUUGUAAGAGAGAAAAAUAGAGAUUAUCCAAGAAGAAAAGUUAAACUUAAUUCUUCGGGUAUUCUUUUAUAGAGGAUUGUGAGUGUAUGUAAACACUUUAUUUAUUUUUGUCUUAUAAAAGAUCUAUGGUAGUCCGGAGACGUAGGCAAGAUUGGCCGAACUCCGUUAUCAAAUUAUGUGUUAUUAUUUUCUUUUGCUCCCUCAUAAAUCUGACUUAUUGGGGAUUUUGCGUAAUUUUUUCCAACAUUAUAAAACGUAGAGGAGUGUAUAUAAAGCUAAACCAUUUAGAUUUAAGAGUCAUCAUCCCAGAAACUUCAAAGAAGAUUUAAGAAAGUGAGUGAGUGGAAGUGGGAAAGAGAGAAAAGUGGGGCGAUGCGAGAGUAAAGCAAAGAGAGACAUUUUAGUGCGUGCGUGAGCGGAUCUAAUGUGCCGUGUUUGCCGCUUCGCUUGAUUUGUAUAAUUAGAGUUUAUUGCUCACUUGUAAAAGCUAUUUCCAUUGAAUCCAAUUGCUGAUAAGUAUAAAAAAUCAUAGUAUAAAUACCGAGGAAAAUUGACCUCACAAUCAUAAUUUAAUAAUUUUUUUAAAUAAUAAUUAUGUAACUCUUGGUCAUAAUUUGAAAAUUUCAAGAAAUAUUUUAAGCAUAAAAAAUACUAUAUUAUUAAUUAAUCUAUUUAGUUACUCAAAAAUCAAAGAAUCCACCGUUAACGUCGUUAAUAUUUAGAUAAUCAAAAUAUAAUCAAUGUCCAUUAUCCAUAUUAAAACUAUCAUUUGAAAUGAUAUAUUGUAUGAUAAGUAACUUAUUAUAUUAAUUUACUUUAACAAAUUAAUAAUUAAUAUAUAUACUUAUCGGUCCCAUAAAUUUAACAGGCAAAAAAAAAUAUGGGGAAUAUUUUGGUAUUUAUACAUGGAAGGAGGGAGGAAAAGGGGGAAGAAAGACACAAUAUGAACACCAUCAUUGCAGUAGUCAAAAAAGAAAAUUGAAGGGAAUAUUUUCUAGUUAUACAUGGGAGGAGGAAGAAAGACGCAAUGACUUAGGUUAACGACUUAGGUUACGUUUUGUUGUGGGGUGCCCAUUCUGUGGGACCCACACAUUGUUGAAAAUAAAAAAGGAAACAUGUGGGUCCUAUGGGAUCCAUAAGCUUUGACAAAAGAAAGAAAAAUAGAGAAGGAAAUUCGGUCGACACGUUAUAUUUUCAGUGUACGCGUUACUCUUCUCUUAUAAAUAGAAGAGGAUGCAAUGCUUCAAAACACACACAUCAGAAAAAAAGAAAAAUAAAAUUUAGGGAGAGAGAGUUAUUUAGUUUUGGGAAGGGUUUCAUAAAACUAGGGGAAAAAAAUAUUGAGAAAAUUAUUAUAGGGUGUUUUUGGGAAACACUUUGAGUGCCACUAUUUUUGUAUUACUCUCUUUGAGUACCUACUAUUUUUAAUAGUGGAAGAGUUAUUCAGAGUUUGUCUCGUGGACAUAGCCCUAAACAGUUGAGGGUGAACCAUGUAAAUUUCUGUGUGUCACAAUUUUGAUUAUUCCGUUGCGUUAAUUUCCUCUUACUUUAUUAAAAGGUUCCAACAAGUGGUAUCAGAGGUGAGGCAAGUGGUACCUGAGGCCCAACAACUGGUAUCAAAGCUGAUGCCCAACAAGUGGUAUCAGAGCUGAUGCCCAACACGUUUAUUUUCGGAAGAUAAAAUGUUUUCCUUUGAAAAAUAUUUUUCGAAUAAUUUUUUUUGUUGUUUGAUUGCAAUAUUAAAAAUCAGUUAAAAAUAUUAAAAUUUUAAUUCAUAAGACCAUAAAAAUAUUAAUAAUAAUAAUAGAAAUUUCGUAUUUUAAAAAUUUUAUUGUUAAAUAUGAGAAGAAUGAAAAAAAAAUAAAUUAUGAAAGUUGUCAGUGACCGAUGGUGGGGGUCGACGGUAUCCGCUAGUGAUGAAUAAUAGCUAUCAAUGAUUAAUAAAUUAAAAAAUUAUAAGGUUAUAAUAAGUUUGUUAAUGUCCGGAAAAUGUUUUACUUUUCAUUUUUAAUCAAAAAUACAUAAGCAAAUUAUGUAUUUCAUUUUUUUUCGUAAACUCUGUCUCCAUUGACAAGACUUAUGUGAGAGACAUCGUCACAUACAGGAUCGGCAUGAGAGUCGUCAUUGGAAAAUUGAUUUCCUUUAUAUUCUUCUAAUAUUUCAUUUAUGUUUUUAUCGUCUUUUUCUCCAUUGGUAUUGGCUGCGAUUCUACGAUUUUUUUUCUUAUCGGAAAUCUAUCACUGCCAUGAAUGUUGUUUAUGCUCUAAAGGAAAAUAGGACUCUCGAUUAUACUUAAAUUAAUAUUGAUACAGUAAAUAUACACCGUUUUACUUGUUUUGAUCAAAUGUAUUAAUUGAUGUGUGUGUGCACAGGUGUGUGUGUGUGUAUAUAUAUAUAUAUAUAUAUAUAUAUAUAUAUCAAUCUGUUACUGUUUGGAGCAAAAUUUGUAUCAUAUGAAACUAAAUAGUCGGGCUUGGCCAUUUAAAAUGAUAGUUUUAAUAUGGAUAAUGGAUAGUAAUUAUAUUUUGAUUAUCUAAAUAUGAACAGUGAAUUCUUUGAUUUUUGAGCAAAAAUGGUUAAUUAAUAAUAUAGUAUUUUUUAUGCUUGAAAUACUUCUUGAAAUUUUCAAAUUAUGACAGAGUUACAUAAUUAUCUAAUUGUGAUUUAAAAAAAUUAUUAAAUUAUGAUUGUUAGGUCAAUUUUUAUCAGUAUUUUAACUUGAUCAGCAAUAAACUGUAAUUAUUCAGAGUUGGUCCCACGACGUAACAUUAAACAAGGUGAACCAUGUAAAUUUCUGUGUGUCACAUUUCUGCUGCGUAAUUAUUCUCGUAAUUUUAUUGCCGGCUCCUAACAAAAUAUAUUCUCGUAUCAUUGGAAUUCUCCGUUAUGGGUUCUUCUUUCUCUUCUUCUGCUUCAAUCUCUUCCCAGUGAACCCCUUCUUUUAUCAUUAAUUCCAUUGCUGCUUCUUCUCCUUCCUCAACCUCUUCCCAGAUUGCCAAAUAACUUAGGAGAUUUAAAAUCUCUGGGGGAACUCAUUGCAACAAGAAGUGGCAUACAAACAUUACCAUCUUCAUUGUCUGGUUUGAAUCUGUUACAGGAACUUAUUCUAGUUGAUUGUGGGAUAUCAGAAAUUCCAGAGAGCACUGGAUCAUUAGUUUCAUUAAAAGAGUUAUAUUUGGAUGGAAAGGUUUUCGAAAGCAUUCCUUGAAGCAUCAAACAACUUUCUAACUUGGUUAUCCUUAGCUUGAAUGAUUGUAUGAGGCUUAGAUAUUUUCCAGAGAUUUCAAUCUUAUUUUCUUUUUCUGCGUCAAAUUGCACAUGUCCAUUCUUUCAUUCGAACUGGAGAGGGAUGAUGAUAUUUUGGGUUUCUGCUUUUGUGCUCUUAUUGAUCCCCAACUUCUUCAUUCUCAUGAUCAAGGUUCCAUUAAAUGUUUUGCGGAAUUCGAAGAUAAAUCUGGAAAGAUACAUGACUUUUAUUUUUCACGUAGGCUGUUGAUGCCUAAGUUAGAUUCAAAACAUGUGCUCCUUUGGUACAAAUCUUUCGACUGUGAAGAGCAUUUCACUCGGGCCUCAUUCCACUUUGCUAUUAGUAAUAGUUAUGAACCUAGUUAUAAUAGGGAAGGGAUGAUUAAGUGUAGAGUUCAUCCCGUAUCUCGGGAACAAUAUAGGACACCAAAAUAAGAAAUGAUUCAAACCAGUAAGGAUGGUAAUGGAGAGUCCCAGACAAGGAAACGGUCGGCGAAUGCUGAAUUUUGGGAUAAGAAUUCAAGACCAAGACUCUGAUUAAAGGAAUUUCUAGUUUCGUGCGUUUCUCUUUGGGAUUUUGAUUAACUAAACUUCGGUUUUUCAUUCAAGUCUUUGGUUUCUAAGUUUCUGCAGUUGUAUGUUGGCUUUGUAUCUCAAGGGCUUGUUGCAGUUGGUGGAAGAUCUUUAAUCAUGUUUGCAGUUAUCCUAAAUGCUUGCAAUUAUUUGCUAAUUUGGAGUUUUGGAGGGAAGUAUAGAUUGAUCUUUAAAAGAUGUUUGCUUCAUUUCAAUUGCUCUUUAAAACAAAUUUUGUAAAUUGGUUCAAUUAUAUCAGCAACUCACAUAAUAUAAUGUUAGAACCAUUUUCUAUCAAUGAUAAUUUAUUUUGUCCCCUCUGUGUUUUAUUGUAUUAUUAUUUUUCCGGUAAUCAAUUAAUUAAAAUUGAGGUAACAGUAGUCAAUUAAAACUCAUAUUCUUUCGACCUUUUAUGCUAUAUCAGCCUAUCAAGUCUAUUGUUUUUCUUUUCUUUUUAUUUAUUUAUGUAUUAGGAAGUUUCAUAAAUUAGAAUGAUACCCUCUUUAAUUCAUUAAAUUAUAAAAAAUUUUAUAAUAAAACUGAUAAAAUCAUACUUGAUUAACUUUUUUAUGAAAUUAAAUUAAUUUUUAAAAAUAUUCUUACAUUUAAAAAUAUUUCUUUGAUAAUAUAGAAUCUAAAUAAAUAAUUAACCAAAAAUAAGAAUCUCAAUUCUUUACAAUUAAACUAAUACAAUUAGAUGCCAUUUAAAAAUCUUUUCAUCAUAAAUGUAUUGUAUCUGAUGCAACUGACUUUACACAAGCUUUCUCGUCAAGACGGGUGAUUAAGGUUGGAAGGUAACAAUUAAUUUGACUUUCCUAUAAUUUUUUUUUUUUGAAAUUCUAUUUUUCUAAGAAAAUAUAUUUCCAUAAAAAAAAUUGAAUUUCGGGAAAAAAGAGUUCAUCUUACCUUAUAAUAGUUAAAAUAUUAAGUUUUAUUUAAUUUAGUAUAUCUCAAAAAAAAAAAAACUAAAUCAAACUAUUAGGAUAAAAUUGCAAAUUUUACAGUAUGAAGGAUCUUACAUGCAUUAGUUUGGGUCUACAAGAUUAUCAAAAUCUAAGAAAAACUCAUCACGCUCUACACAUGCCUGUCCAUCUUCAUCUUCAUCUUCCAGGAAAAGGAAUGGACAUGAUACAAAUUGUCAAGAGAUGCAAUUUGAUGCAGAAAAUAUUCUUUAGAAUGGAAGUUAUGUCAAAUUUCUUAGCCUCUUACAAUCAUUCAACUUAGAAAGUAGAAUCAUGCUUGGCGGUAUGCUUUUGAAAUCGUUUUCAUCUAAAUAUAACUCUUCCAAUGAAAUUAAUGACCCAAUGCUCUCUGGAAUUUCUGAUAUACCACACUUAUUCAGAUAAAAUUUCCUUAGGCAAUUCAAACCAGACAAAGGAGGCAAUGUCAUCAAACCUUUACAUCCCUCGCAACAUAAGAAUUCCAAUUUGCUCAAUUGAUUGAUAGAUGAUGGUAAUAUUUUUAUGCCACUUGCUUUUGCUUCACGCUCCAUCCGCAAUUUUAAAUCUCCAAAAUUAUCUAGCAAUCCGUUGAAUUUCAAACAAUCUGUAACAUCAAUGCCUUCAGGAGAUUUUAACCCACAAAUACUUUGUGGGGUGGAACUAGACUUCAAGAAUUGGGAUUAAGGAUCAAUAUAAAUAUUUACGUGAGUUGCUGAUAAUAUUGAACCAAUUUACAAAAUUUGUUUUAAAGAUCAGUUGAAAUGAAGCAAACCUCUUUUAAAGAUCAAUCUAUACUUCCCUCCAAAACUCCAAACUAGCAAAUAAUUACAAGCAUUUAGGAUAACUACAAACAUGAUUAAAGAUCUUCCACCAACUGCAACAAGCCCUUGCCAACGUACAACUGCAGAAAAUUAGAAAUAGAUUAGCUAUUAUGAGUGUUAAUAUCCAAGUAACAGCCAAUAAUAAGCUGAUUCUCUCCACUACCGUGAUGCUGUGAAUUGAAAACUGAAGUCUACCAAAAUCCCAAAGUAAUACACACGAAACUAGAAAUUCCUUUACCUAUUGUCAAUUUCCAUUUGCCAUACAAAUUGACCUUAAUCAGAUUCUUUGCCUCAAUUUCUUCUCCUAUAAUUCAGCGUUCGCCACUUGUACUGUAUCCUUAUCUGGUUCUCCCUGAUACCAUCCUUCUUGGUUUUAAUCAUUCCUUAUUUCAGCUUUCCUAUAUCUUCCCGAUGUAUAGGAUGCAUGCCACAAGUGAUCGCCCUCCCAAUACUGGCACCACCUUUUCUGGGAUACUUUACAGAGAAUUGAUAAACAUGGAAUGAGACUCGAGUGAAAUUCGGCUCAUGAUCAAAAGAUUUGCACCUAAGGAACACAUGUUUUGAAUCUAAUUUAGGAAGCCCAAAAUAUGGCAAAUCAAAGUCACAGACAUACUCAUACAUCUUUUCAGAUUUAUCUUGGAAGUUCGCAUAUCCUGUAAUGCCAUAUUCAUCCAAAUCAAAAUCUUGGAAAUCAAUAACAGCGGAAAAAUAAAAACCCAAAACACGAUCAGGCCUUUCCAACUGAAAUGAAAGAUGAGACCCACUUGUUCGAUAUUUCAUAAUUUGUGGCACUUCCACCACCCCAGGGAUACAUAAUUGACACUGCUACUCCAUGAAAAUAUACUUUGUUAAGGAAUAUCAUAGUUAAAUAACGAUAGAGUUGAAUUUAAAUAGCUGAUGAAUGAGUAAAUGGAUAAUUUAAACACAAAUUUGAAAAAACGUCCAUAACAACUAUUGAAAUCUUUUCGUGAUAUUUUUUUUAUGGUAAGAUGAUAUAUAGUUCAAUUUUAUUAUGUUUAUCUCUUUUCCCUUGUCAAAGCAUAAAUUAAUUAAGAAAUUCACAAGUUAGGAAAAUAUUCCAUUGAUGUUUAUCUUCGAAAAUCUUAAUUAACAUUUUUUUUUAAUAAGGACUUCUUUAUUAAUUUAAUAUUAGAGAAAUGAAACAUACGUGCUGGUCUGGGUGUGUUGAGAAUGGGGCCUCCAUAAUCUGAAGACGUAAUUUAUCACCCAAUUUGAUGCAGUUACCAAAAUUAAGAUCAGUGUACCGAAAGUCAUCUUCUGUUUCUGCUUUGGAAAAGGACGAAAAUGAUACGAAUUCUAAAGAGGUGCAAUUUGAUGCAGAAAUUGACCAUGUGCAUGGAAGCUCUGGCAAAUAUCUAAGCCUCUUACAAUCAUCCAACAUAAGAGUCUCUAAGUUAGAAAGUUGUUUGAUGCUUGAAGGAAUGCUUUCGAAAGCGUUUCCAUCUAAAUAUAAAUCUUUCAAUGAAACUAAUGAUCCAAUACUCUCUGGAAUUUCUGAUAUACCACAGUUACCCAGAUGAAGCGUCUGUAGGCUAUUCAAACCGGACAACGGAGGCCAUACCGUCAAACCAUUACAUCCUGCAAAGUAUAAAUAUUCCAAUCGGCUUAAUUGAUUGAAAGAGGAUGGUAAUGUUUUUAUGCCACUUCCUGUUGCGUUAAGUGUCUUCAGAGAUUUUAAAUAUCCAAAGUUAUUUGGAAAUGUGCUGAAUUUCAAACCUCUAACAUCAAUGUGUUCAAGAGAUUGUAACUGGCCAAUGCAGUUUGGAAGAUUUUGAAGCUUUGUACACCAGCUUAACGAUAAUACAACAAGUUGAGAGCAAUGUCCAAUUGAUGAAGGCAAUUGUUUUAUUGCAGUUUUACUUAAAUUUAAAUCCCUUAAAUUGCAAGGAUGCUCUGGACAUUCUUUAAGUUUACUGCAACCAUGAAGAUUGAGAAUCUAAAGAUUUUCUAACUGAAGGAAGCUUGGCAAACUGCUAAUACUUUCACAGUACUCUAAGUGUAGCCGAGCAAGCUUGGCUGAAUAUUUAAGAGAUGAAGGUAUCUCAAUGAAACGUCUACAUCUUGACAAAUAUAAUCCCUCAAGCUUUCGGGCUUGAAAUGAGUCCGAAAUUCUCAAUAAAGACACAGAGGUAUUGAGGUCCAUCAAUUUCAAACUUUUAAAAGGCUGUAAUUCUCAAUAUGAAUGAUUAAAAUUUAAUGUUUAAUUUAGUAUAGCUAAACUUUAAAAAGUGCAGUACCUUACUAUCUCCUUUCCACAGUUGUUUGAGCUGGCUGCUAGGCAAGCGAAGUUCUACAAGAUUAUUUGGGCAAAACUUCGACGGCAAAGAUUCCAAAGGGUAAAAAAGCCAAGACAAAUAUCUUAGCUGUUCCCGAAGAAAGUUAAGGCCAUCAGGCAAAAUCCAUUUGGAAUCAGUGAUUCUGAGGAAUCUAAGAUUAGGUAUCUUCAUGAAACUUUUGGAACUUAUUUCAAUAGAUCCAGCAGUCAAAAAAGGAGGCGAAAUGCAAUCAAUCUUAUCAAUUUCCUGGUAAAACGAACGACAAAUUAAAAAUGAAUAUAUAUAUAUAUAUAUAUAUAUAAAGGUAUGAGUAUAAAAUAUUUAAAAAGAAAAGCUAUUGGAAUCAUCAUUAAUUACGUUGAGUGGUAAGUUCAAAAGUAGCAAAUUUUGCUCCUUACUGUAUUUGUUUUGAAUACAUGAGAAAUGUCCUUAGGAUUCCACAACCCACUACGUCCUCCAGGCUGUUUGCAUUCCUCAUUCACAAUCUCCUUUCCCAUUUGUUGUAGUAAGUUAUGCAUUUCUACUUUACGAUCAUAUUUUCGAAUGGCGAUGAGAGAUUUAUCAAUGAGACUCCUUAUUCCACAUCUUACAAAGAAACCAAAACUUUCUAUUAUUUUUUCAAGCUCAUUUUAAUGUGUAUCUCCUUUUCCAAAGAAACAUGCGAUAUCCAGAAAUAUGCUCUGCUCAUUCCUAUCUAACCCAUCAUAACCUAGUUUUAGAACAUCUUGAAUUCUCUUGUUCGGGAUGCUUUUCAAUUUUAGCAACUGGCUCUCCCAGUACUCUUUCUCCUUGCCAUAAAGGCUAGAGCCUAAAACUUUUAGUGCUAAUGGAUUGCCUUGAGCAUAACGUAUCACCUCCUUGGAUAGCAAAACAUAUCCUUCUUUCGGUUCAUCUUGAUGGAAAGCAUGCAAGCUAAAGAGUUGAAGAGCUUCCUUAUAAAUUAAUCCCUUAACCUGAUAAAUAUGUUCUUCACGACAAACAUUUUUAAGCACUUGUCUAUCUGUACUAGUUAUAAUGAUUCUACUUCCCUUACGGUACAAACUACUGUUUCCAGCUAAAAGAUCUAAAUCGUUUGAAUCAUCAAUGUCAUCAAAAACAAUAAGAACUUUCUUUUUUUGCAGUCUUCUCAUAAUCCAAUCAUCUAAUACUAAAAGUGGUAAGCCUAUUUUGAAAUAUUCGUCUCCCAAUAGUGAACGAAUGAUUUUAUCCCGUAAAACAAUUGCUGUUUCCUUCCUUAUUUGUUCCUUGACAUUUGAAACAAAGCAGUGGGCAUCAAAUUUAGCCUUGAUUUGGGAAAACACUAUACCGGCAAGAGUUGUCUUUCCAAUACCAGCCAUUCCCGAAAUUCCUAUUGUCCAAUUUCUGUCAUUUACAUCAAUAUCCAAUAACGAUAUUACUCCCUCGACACGUGAAUGAAUUCCAACUAACUUGUCAUGGUAACUAGCAUUUGAUGGCAUAUGACUUAACAUCUCUGAAACACGAUUGACGAUUCUUUGAACUAGCAUUUGGUCAUUUCUGAUCACAUAUGAAAAAUAAAAAGUAAGCCAAAACUUAUAUAUUCUAGAAUAGAAUAAAUUAAGUGUUUGGAAGAACUGGGUGGGUAAAACCCAUGAUUGAAGGAAUAGAAGAAAAUGAAACAGAAUUUUAACAAGAAAAUAAAAAUAAGUGAGAGUUCAAAGGAGUAGAUAUCGUGACUAGAAGCCAUCUAUCGUGUGCGCAAGAUUGAUCUAUUAUUGAUGAAUAGAAAAUAAAAAGACAUGGAAAAGUAAAUAAGGGAAAAUGAUAACUUUACUUGAUCUCAUUCGAAACAAAAGCACUUAAGUCGUUGCUGAUUGUCUUCAGAGCAUGGCAGCAUCCACCCAGGUUAUGUGAGCUAUCGCUGUGAUCUUUUAAAAGCCUAGCAAGUGCCCUUGCGAAAGGGCCUCUCAGCUCUUGAACAUCAGUUGGAUCUACACGGUAAAAAACUGGNNNNNNNNNNNNNNNNNNNNNNNNNNNNNNNNNNNNNNNNNNNNNNNNNNNNNNNNNNNNNNNNNNNNNNNNNNNNNNNNNNNCAUAGUUUUUGGAGAAUAUGACAAUUGAAAUACAUGAUUCUUGAAUUGUUUGCUUGAGGGCUGGUGUUAUUUCAGUUCCUUUUUGAAGGUUUUCAUCCUUGAAGGUAUCGAUUCCUUUUUCCUUCAAAGAUUCAAAGAGAAAGGAGAGAAAACCGUCGCGGAUGUCUUUGCCUCUGAAAUUAAUAAAAACUUCAUAGUUAUUUAGCUCGGAAUGGGUUUGCUGGGAAGAGGUUGAGGAAGGUGAAGAAGCAGCAUUGGUAUUAAUGAUAAAAGAAGGGGUUCGCUGGGAAGAGGUUGAAGCAGAAGAAGAGAAAGAAGAACCCAUAAUGGAGAAUUCCAAUGAUACAAGAAGCCGCAGAAGGCGAGUUUUAUAAAAUGUAGAAGAGUAUAUAUAUAUAUAUAUAUAUAUAUAUAUAUAGCUUAACCAUAGAGAUUUGAGAAACACACUCACACAGACAUCAGCUUUAGGAAAGUGAGUGAGUGGAAGUAGGAAAGAGAGAAAAGUGAGGCGAUGGAGAGUCAAGCAAAAAAGAGAGUCAACUGAAUCCAAUUGCUGAUAAGUAUAAAAAUCAUAGUAUAAGUACUGAGGAAAAUUCACCUCACAAUCAUAAUCUAAUAAUUUUUUUUAAAUCAUAAUUAGAUAAUUAUGUAACUCUUUGUUAUAAUUUGAAAUUUUCAAAAAAUAUUUCAAACAUAAAAAAAUACUAUAUUAUUAAUUAAUCUAUUUAAUUGCUCAAAAAUCAAAGAAUCCAUAGUUAAUGUUAUUAAUGUUUAAAUAAUCAAAAUGAAAUCACUGUCCCUUAUCUACGUUAAAAAUAAUAUAUUUGCCUUAAAUUAUAUAUAUAUAUAUAUAUAUAUAUAUAUAUAUAUUAUACAUCAUAAUAUAUAAAAAUAAUUAUACCAUUAAUAGUCAUUUUAUAUUUUAACAGCAACUUAACAUUUUACCAAAUACGAAUAGUAAUCAGCUAAUCGCUAUUAAUCAUGAGUUACUAACUACCAGCAACCCCUAUCAAUUAGCAGCUGGUAUGAACCGCUACACUAAAGGGCUUUAAUAAAUCAACAUUCUCAAAUCUCCAUCUCAUCUUAAAGCUCCAUCUUCUUCUUCUCAACUCUCCCAAUCUCCUCUUUUAUUAUAUUGCCAUAAUUUGAAAAUUUUGAUAAAUAUUUCAAGCAUCAAAAAUAUUAUAUUAUUAAUUUAUUUAUUUAGUUGCUAAAAAUUAAAGAAUCCACCCUUAAUGUUUAGAUAAUCAAAAUAUAAUCAUUGUCCAUUAUCCACAUUAAAACUGUCAUUUGAAAUUAUAUAUUGUAUAAUAGGUAACUUAUUAUAUAAAUUUACUUUAAAUUAAUAAUUAAUAUGUAUACUUCUCAGUCCCAUAAUUUUAAUGGGCAAAAAAAAUAAAAAAGGAAUUCUAUCCCUCUUGUUUAUUGGAUUUAUUUCCUUGAUUAAUGCAAUAAUAUUAUCUUUCAAAAAAAAAAAUUUUAAUAGGCAAAAAAGAAAAUUAUUGGGAAUAUUUGGUAUUUAUACAUGGAAAGAGGGAGGAAAGCUGAAGAUACAAUGAUAAUAUUGGUGAAAUCAAAGGGUUUGAUGAUUUUGAGGUGGUUCUUUGAUUUGUUCAUGGCUAGGAGCCAAAUUUCUAUAGUCGGUUGCUUUUACUAAUAAAUUGAAUAGGCCUAAACAUCCAGUAUGAGCUGGAAAAUCAAAUUAGCAGGGUUAUUUUGAUGCGCAGACUAUAAAUAAUAUUCUCAUAAUUGCUUUUGUUACAAAUUAAAUUUAGAGAGAAAGAAAAUAAUUUUUUCUAUCAAAUAAAACUAAUAGAGUUAUAAUAAAGUCAUAUUUGAUAAAAAUUAAUUGAAUAAUGUAGUUACAUUAGCAAAAAAAAAAUUAAAAUAUUGAUUUCAAUUCACUAAAAUUUAUUUCAUCAAAAUUAAAUAUUCUUAUAAUACCUCAUCCAAUUUGAACAUGUGAGAAUUUUAAAGAGCAAAAAAAAAAAAAUAACUAACUAUAUAAGUUGAAUUACAAUAAUUUACUCACAAUAAUUAAUUGUGCUAUUUAAUAUUUUAGUUCAUUACUUGAGAAUCAAAAAGAGCUUAUAAUUUUACUUUUCAUUUUUAAUUAAAAAUACAUAAGCAAAUUAUUUAUUUCAUUUUUUUUUCAUAAACAUUGUCUCCAUUGACAAGACUGAUGUGAGAGUCAUCAUCACAUACAGGAUCGGCAUGAGAGUCCUCACCAGAAAAUUGAUUUCGUUUAUAUUCUUCUAAUAUUUCAUUUAUAUUUUUAUCGUCUUCUUCUCUAUUGGUAUUGGUUGCGAUUCUACGAUUUUUUUUCUUAUUGAAAAUCUAUAACUGCCAUGAAUGUUGUUUAUACUCUAAAAAAAGACAGGACUCUCGAUUCUGCUUAAAUUAAUAUUGAUACAGUAAAUAUACAUCGUUUUUACUUGAUUUGAUCAAAUGUGUUAAUUGAUGUAAAUAUAUAUAUCAAUCUGUUAUUGUAUGGAGCAAAAUUUGCAUCAUAUGAAACUAAAUAGUCGGGCAUGGCCAUUUUAAAUGAUAGUUUUAAUGUGGAUAAUGGAUAGUAAUUAUAUUUUGAUUAUCUAAACAUUAACGGUGAAUUCUUUAAUUUUUGAGCAAAACAGAUUAAUUAAUAAUAUAAUAUUUUUGAUGCUUGAAAUGUUUCUUGAAAUUUUCAAAUUAUGACCAAGAGUUACAUAAUUAUCUAAUUGUGAUUUAAAAAAAUUAUUAAAUUAUAAUUGUCAGGUCAAUUUUCCUCGGUAUUUUGACUUGAUCAGCAAUGAACUGUACUUAAUACAAAUCAAUGGUUUAGCUUUAUAUAUACUCUUCUGCUUUUUAUAAAACUCGCCUUCUACGGCUUCUUGUAUCAUUUGAAUUCUCCGUUAUGGGUUCUUCUUUCUCUUCUUGUGCUUCAACCUCUUCCCAGAUUGCCAAAUAACUUAGGAGAUUUAAAAUCUCUUGGGGAACUCAUUGCAACAAAAAGUGGCAUACAAACAUUACCAUCUUCAUUGUCUGGUUUGAAUCUGAUGCAGGAACUUAUUCUAGUUGCUUGUGCUAUAUCAGAAAUUCCAGAGAGCACUGGAUCAUUAGUUUCAUUAAAAGAGUUAUAUCUGGAUGGAAACGGUUUCGAAAGCAUUCCUGCAAACAUCAAACAACUUUCUAACUUCGUUAUCCUUAGCUUGAAUGAUUGUAUGAGGCUUAGACAUUUGCCAGAGAUUCCAAUCUUAUUUUCGUUUUCUGCAUCAAAUUGCACCUCUUUAGAAUUCGUAUCGUGUCCAUUCUUUUCCCAUGAAGAUGAAGAUGGAUUUCUGUUUGUAUGUCUUAACUUUAUUAAUUGCAUCAAAUUGGGCGAAAAUGUAGGUAUUAAAAUUAUAGAAACCGUAUUGUCACCACAUUCAAACAUAGAGGUAUGGUUCCUUUCUCUAAUGUUCCACUCUAUUUUGAAACAGCUUUGAGAGUCCUAACUUAAGUGUUAAUUUGACUGUAUUUUUCCCAAUUUUAUUUUCAUGGGACAGGUGUUCGGAAUAUGUAUCCCUGGGAUGGAAGUACCGCAAAGUAUGAGAUAUCAGACAAGUGGAUCUCAUCUUUCAUUCGAGCUGGAGAGGGAUGAUGAUAUUUUGGGUUUCUGCUUUUGCGCUGUUAUUGAUCCCCAACUUCUUCAUUCUCAUGAUCAAGGUUCCAUUAAAUGUUUUGCUGAAUUCAAAGAUAAAUCUGGAAAGAUCCAUGGCUUUUAUUUUUUCAGGUAUGCUGUUGAUGCCUAAGUUAGAUUCAAAACAUGUGCUCCUUUGGUACAAAUCUUUCGACUGAGAAGAGCAUUUCACUCGGGCCUCAUUCCACUUUGCUAUUAGUAAGAGUUAUGAACCUAGUUAUAAUAGGGAACCGAUGAUUAAGUGUAGUGUUCAUCCUGUUUCUCGGGAACAAUAUAGGAAACCAAAACAAGAAAUGAUUCAAACCAACAAGGAUUGUAAUGGAGAGCCCCAGACAAGGAAACGGUCGGCGAAUGCUGAAUUUUGGGAUAAGAAAUCAAGACCAAGACUUUGAUUAAAGGAAUUUCUAGUUUCGUGUGUUUCUCUUUGGGAUUUUGAUUAACUAAACUUCAGUUUUUAAUUCAAAUCUUUGGUUUCUAAGUUUCGGCAGUUAUGGGUUAGCGCUGUAUCUUUAGGGCUUGUUGCAGUUGGUGGAAGAUCUUUAAUCAUGUUUGUAGUUAUCCUAAAUGCUUGUAAAUUUUAAUUAUUUGCUGUCAUCCUAAUGUCUUUAAUUAUUUGCUAGUUUGGAAUUUAGGAGGGAAGUAUGUAAUAAUGUACAUGAUUCAAUAACCUAGAUUUUUAAAAGAUGUUUGCUUCAUUUCAAUUGAUCUUUAAAACAAAUUUUGUAAAUUGGUUCAAUUUUAUCAGCAACUCACGUAAAUAUUUGGGUCUACAAGAUUAUCAAAAUCUAAGAAAAAAUCAUCACGCUCUACACAUGCCCGUCCAUCUUCAUCUUCAUCUUCCAGGAAAAGGAAUGGACAUGAUACAAACUGUAAAGAGAUGCAAUUUGAUGCAGAAAAUGUUCUUGAGAAUGGAAGUUGCCAAAUUUCUUAGCCUCUUACAAUCAUUCAACUUAGAAAGUAGUUUGAUGCUUGCAGGUAUACUUUUAAAAUCGUUUUCAUCUAAAUAUAACUCUUCCAAUGAAAUUAAUGACCCAAUGCUCUCUGGAAUUUCUGAUAUACCUCACUUAUUCAGAUAAAAUUUCCUUAGGCAAUUCAAAGCAGACAAAGGAGGCAAUGUCAUCAAACCCUUACAGACCCUCGCAACAUAAGAAUUCCAAUUUGCUCAAUUGAUUGAUAGAUGAUGGUAAUAUUUUCAUGCCCCUUGCUUUUGCUUCACGCUCCAUCCGCAAUUUUAAAUCUCCACAAUUAUCUGGCAGUCCGUUGAAUUUCAGACAAUUUGUAACAUCAAUUCCUUCAAGAGAUUUAACUGACAAACACUUUGCGGGGUGGAACUAGACUUCAAGUGUUGGGAUUAAGGAUCAAUAUAAAUAUUUGUGUGUGUUGCUGAUAUAAUUGAACCAAUUUACAAAAUUUGUUUUAAAGAUCAAUUGAAAUGAAGCAAACAUCUUUUAAAGAUCAAUCUAUACUUCCCACCAAAACUCCAAACUAGCAAAUAAUUACAAGCAUUUAGGAUAACUGCAAACAUGAUUAAAGGUCUUCCACCAACUGCAACAAGCCCUUGAGAUACAAUGCCAAUGUACAACUGCAGAAACUUAGAAAUAGAUUAGCUAUUAUGAGUGCUAAUAGCCAAGUAACAGCCAAUAAUAAGCUGAUUCUCUCCACUACUGUGAUGCUGUGAAUUGAAAACUGAAGUCAACCAAAAUCCCAUAAUUCAGAGUUCGCCGCCGGUAUGUAUCCUUAUUUGGUUCUCCCUGAUGCCAUCCUUCUUGGUUUUAAUCAUUCCUUAUUCGGCUUUCCUAUUUUCUUCCCGAUAUAUAGGAUGAAUGCCACAAUUGAUCACCUUCGCACUGUCUUCACCUUUUCCGGAAAAAUUUAGAGAGAAGUGAUCAACAUGGAAUGAGACUCGAGUGAAAUUCCGUUCAUGAUCAAAAGAUGUAUACCUAAGGAACACAUGUUUUGAAUCUAACUUAGGAAGCCAAAAAUAUCGAAGAUAAAAGUUACAGCUAUAUUUAUACAUCUUUCCAGAUUUAUCUUGGAAGUUCACAUAACCCGUAAUGCCAUAUUCAUCCAAAUCAAAAUCUUGGAAAUCAAUAACAACGGAAAAAUAAAAACCCAACACACGAUCAGGUCUUUCCAACUGAACUGAAAGAUGAGACCCACUUGUUCGAUAUUUCAUAAUUUGCGGCACUUUCCCCCCAGGGAUACAUAAUUGACACUGUUGCUCCAUGAAAAUAUAUUUUGUUAAAGAAUAUCAUAAUUAAAUAACGAUAGAGCUGAAUUUAAAUAGCUGAUGAAUGAGUAAAUGGAUAAUUUAAACACAAAUUUUAAAAAACGCCUAUAAUAACUAUUGAAAUCUUUCGUGAUAUAUAGUUCAAUUUUAUUAUGUUUAUCUCUCUUCCCUUAUCAAAGCAUAAAUUAAUUAUGAAAUUCACAAGUUAGGAAAAUAUUCCAUUGAUGUUUAUCAUCGAAAAUCUUAAUUAACAAUUUUUUUUUAAUAAGGACUUCUUUAUUAAUUUAAUAUUAGAGAAAGGGAACAUACGUGCUGGUCUGGGUGUGCUGAGAACGGGGCUUCCAAAAUCUGAAGACGUAAUUUAUCACCCAAUUUGAUGCAGUUACCAAAAUUAAGAUCAGUGUACCUGGAAGAGGACGAAAAUGAUACAAAUUCUAAAGAGGAGCAAUUUGAUGCAGAAAAUAACCUUGUGCCUGGAAGCGCUGGCAAAUAUCUAAGCCUCUGACAAGCAUCCAACACAAGAGUCUCCAAGUAAGAAAGUUGUUUGAUGCUUGCAGUAAUGCUUUUGAAAUCGUUUCCAUAUAAAUAUAACUUUUUCAAUGAAACUAAUGAUCCAAUACUCUCUGGAAUUUCUGAUAUACCAGAGUCACGCAGAUGAAGCAUCUGUAGGCUAUUCAAACCGGACAACGAAGGCCAUACCGUCAAACCUUUACAGCCCAUAAAAUUCAAACGUUCCAAUUGGCUCAAUUGAUUGAAAGAGGAUGGUAAUGUUCUUUCACUUCCUGUUGCUUUAAGUGCCUUCAGAGAUUUUAAAUAUCUGAAGUUAUUUGGCAAUGUGCUGAAUUUCAAAUAUCUAAGAUCAAUGCAUUCAAGAGAUUGUAACUGGCCAAUGGAGUUUGGAAGAUUUUCAAGCUCUGUACACCCACUUAACGAUAAUGCAACACGUUGAGAGCAAUGUCCAAUUGAUGAAGGCAAUUGUUUUAUUGCAGUUCUACUUAAAUUUAAAUCCCUUAAAUUGCAAGGAAUUUCUGGACAUUCUUCAAGUUUACUGCAGCCUUGAACAUUAAGAAUCUCAAGAUUUUCUAACUGAAGGAAGCUUGGCAAAUUGCGAAUACUUUUACAGUUAUCUAACUGUAGCUGAGCAAGCUUUGGGGCUUGAAAUGAGUCCGAAAUUCUCAAUAAAGACGGAGAGCUGCGGAGGUCCAUAACUUUCAAACUUUUAAAAGGCUGUAAUAAAAAGAGCAAGAAUAUGAAUGAUUAAAAUUUAAUGUUUAAUUUAUAUUUGUUAUGGAAAAGAAAUAAUAAUUUUCACUCUCAUAAAAUCAAUUUUAUAAAAUUUAACUCAAUUAAAUCCCAUCUUAUUAUGUUAUACUUGAAGUUCAUUUACACCAAAUAGAAAAGUAUUAAACUUUAGGAAGUAUAGCAAAACUUUAAAAAUGCAGUACCUUACUAUCUCCUUUCCACAGUUGUUUGAGCUGGCUGCAAGGCAAGCGAAGUUCUACAAGAUUAUUUGGGCAAAACUUCGACGGCAAAGAUUUCAAAGGGUAAAAAAGCCAAGAUAAAUAUCUUAGCUGUUCCGGAAGAAAAUCAAGGCCAUCAGGCAAAAUCCAAUUGGAAUCGGUGAUUCUGAGGAAUCUAAGAUUAGGCAUCUUCAUGAAACUUUUGGAACGUAUCUCAAUAGCUUCAGCAUUCGACGAAGAAGGCGAAAUGCACUCAAUCUUAUCAGUUCCCUGAUAAACGAACAACAAAUGGAAAAUCAAUAUAUAUAUAUAUAUAUAUAUAUAUAUAUAAAGGUAUGAGUAUAAAAUAUUUAAAAAGAAAAGCAAUUGGAACCAUCUCUAAUUAUGUUCAGUGGUAAUUUCAAAAGUGGCAAAUUUUGCUCCUUACUGUAUUUGUUUUGAAUACAUGAGAAAUGUCCUCAGGAUUCCACAACCUACUACGUCCUCCANNNNNNNNNNNNNNNNNNNNNNNNNNNNNNNNNNNNNNNNNNNNNNNNNNNNNNNNNNNNNNNNNNNNNNNNNNNNNNNNNNNNNNNNNNNNNNNNNNNNNNNNNNNNNNNNNNNNNNNNNNNNNNNNNNNNNNNNNNNNNNNNNNNNNNNNNNNNNNNNNNNNNNNNNNNNNNNNNNNNNNNNNNNNNNNNNNNNNNNNNNNNNNNNNNNNNNNNNNNNNNNNNNNNNNNNNNNNNNNNNNNNNNNNNNNNNNNNNNNNNNNNNNNNNNNNNNNNNNNNNNNNNNNNNNNNNNNNNNNNNNNNNNNNNNNNNNNNNNNNNNNNNNNNNNNNNNNNNNNNNNNNNNNNNNNNNNNNNNNNNNNNNNNNNNNNNNNNNNNNNNNNNNNNNNNNNNNNNNNNNNNNNNNNNNNNNNNNNNGAGCUUCCUCAUCAAUUAAUCCCUUAACGUGAUAAAUAUGUUCUUCAUGGCAAACAUUUCGAAGUACUUGUCUAUCUGUACUAGUUAUAAUGAUUCUACUUCCCUUACGGUACAAACUACUGUUUCCAAGUAAAAGAUCUAAAUCGUUUGAAUCAUCAACGUCAUCAAAAACAAUAAGAACUUUCUUUUUUUGCAGUCUUCUCAUAAUCCAANNNNNNNNNNNNNNNNNNNNNNNNNNNNNNNNNNNNNNNNNNNNNNNNNNNNNNNNNNNNNNNNNNNNNNNNNNNNNNNNNNNNNNNNNNNNNNNNNNNNNNNNNNNNNNNNNNNNNNNNNNNNNNNNNNNNNNNNNNNNNNNNNNNNNNNNNNNNNNNNNNNNNNGCAAGAGUUGUCUUUCCAAUACCAGCCAUUCCCCAAAUUCCUAUUAUCCAAUUUCUGUCAUUUACAUCAAUAUCCAAUAACGAUAUUACUUGCUCGACACGCGAAUCAAUUCCAACUAACUUGUCAUGGUAACUAGCAUUUGAUGGCAUAUGACUUAAUAUCUCCGAAACACGAUUGACGAUUCUUUGAACUAGCAGUUGGUCAUUCCUGAUGACAUAUGAACAACAAAAAGUAAGCCCAAACUUAUAUAUUUUCUAGAAUAGAAUCAAUUAAGUGUUUGGAAAAACUGGGUGGGUAAAACCCAUGAUUGAAGGAAUAGGAGAAAAUGAAACAGAAUUUUAACAAGAAAAUAAAAAUAAGUGAGAGUUCAAAGCAGUGGAUAUCGUGACUAAAAGCCAUCUAUCGUGUGCGCAGAUUGAUCUAUUAUUGAUGAAUAGAAAAUAAAAAGACAUGGAAAAGUAAANNNNNNNNNNNNNNNNNNNNNNNNNNNNNNNNNNNNNNNNNNNNNNNNNNNNNNNNNNNNNNNNNNNNNNNNNNNNNNNNNNNNNNNNNNNNNNNNNNNNNNNNNNNNNNNNNNNNNNNNNNNNNNNNNNNNNNNNNNNNNNNNNNNNNNNNNNNNNNNNNNNNNNNNNNNNNNNNNNNNNNNNNNNNNNNNNNNNNNNNNNNNNNNNNNNNNNNUCAUUUAUCACAACAAGCUCGUCCAAGCACCAUGGAGAAUCUGCAUAGUUUUUGGAGAAUAUGACAAUUGAAAUACAUGAUUCUUGAAUUGUUUGCUUGAGGGAUGGUGUUAUUUCAGUUCCUUUUUUAAGGUUUUCAUCCUUGAAGGUAUCGAUUCCUUUUUCCUUCAAAGAUUCAAAGAGAAAGGAGAGAAAACCGUCGCGUAUGUCUUUGCCUCUGAAAUUAAUAAAAACUUCACAGUUAUUAGGCUCGGAAGGGUUUUGCUGGGAAGAGGUUGAGGAAGGAUAAGAAGCAGCAAUAGAAUUAAUGAUAAAAGAAGGGGUUCGCUGGGAAGAGCUUGAAGCAGAAGAAGAGAAAGCAGAACUCAUAAUGGAGAAUUCCAAUGAUACAAGAAGCCGUACAGGGCGAUAAUAGUUUGGAUACUCAUAGUUUAAAAAAAAACUUAAUGAAUAAACUUUAAUAUUUUUAAAUAAACUUAACGAAUUUCUAGUGAAUGUCAUCAUAACAGAUUCAAUAAUAUUAGAAAAAAAAAAUUGUACAGAAAAAGAAAUAGAUAUUCAUUAUUUUAUUUAUUAUUGGUGAUAAAUCUCAUUAAUGUCAUUAUUUAUUUAUUUUGGUUUUUUUUUUUUUUUUGACAUUAUUUAUUUUGGUUGUUAGUAUGACUUUCACCCACACACAUACCUCACUCUGCGCUAAGAUUUCUUUUGUGCUCAGUGAAUAGAACAAUGGGUCUGGGUAUUACCAAUUUAUGAGAAUUAAAAGGAGAAAGAAUCUAAUGUAUUGUGGACCAUCUUAAUGUAGUAGACCACCUGAUCUUCAGGUCGUGGUGGCUGUGAUUAUGGGUUGGUCUCGUGUCCCAUCCCAUCCAAAUAGUUACUUGGCAUUUGACUCUUUAGCGGCCGAUUUGUAUUUACUAACUGAUUUGAAUUUAUAUUACAUUUUUAUUAAAUUUUAUAAAAUUUAUUAAUGUAAUUUUUGAAUUAUUAAUUUUAUAUAAUUAGUUUGCUCAUAAUUAAAUAAAAUAAUAAAUAACUAUUAAACAUUAGUGUAAAAAAUUCAUUAAAGUGUUUUAUUUAUAUGGCAUGCUAAAAUAAAGAUAUGCAAAAAUACCGUAAAUUUUAUCUUUUAUAGCAAUCUCAUUCAAAAUUAAUUUUAUGACAAUUGUAAUCCAAAUUUGAUAUUUUGUAGCUAUUACAAUCUUUAUAUUGAAAUUGGAACUGGAAUUUCAAAUAAAAAAUGAAAAUUUUCCUUGAUCCUAUGUUGGAGCUUGGGUUAAUUUAACCUAAGUAUAUAGUAAAUUUGAAAAAUGUCCGCUUUAAUGCUCCUUCGUCCCAAAAAGAUAAUACAUCUUUUUUUUUUUUUUGAUUUGUCUAGUCUACUUUUUUUUUUUUUUUUUGCAUUAUAGUUAAUCUUUAAAUUAUCUAUUACACCAUUAUUAAACUUUAUUUUAUUUUCAAUAACCCUGAUUAAUUCUUACUUAUUAUUUCAAUAUAAUAAUUGCUCGCGUAUUAUUUAAGAUGAACAUAAUAAGACAAUUAUAUGAAUAAAAUUAUCCUUUAAUCAUAAUAAUUACUAUUUUCUUAAAAUGUGAAAAUAAAAAGCAAACUAUAUUUUUAGAAUGGAGGAAGUAGUAGAUUGAGAGACGAUGUAUGAGCGAAAAAUCAUUUUUUUAACAUUUCUUGAUUACGGAGAACACUAAUUUUGAGAGAUAAAUAAAAAGUUAAUUUACAAAUUUGAUUCAGACACCCAAUUAUAUAUAUAUAUAUAGAAAUGUUCAAGAAAAGGAAAGUAUGUUAAGAAUUUUCUCAAAAUAAGUAGAAACAUUACUUCUUUAAUUUACAUGCUUUCGCUAUCUUUUUCUUUUCUGAUGAUGCCAUAAUUAUAUCAAGGGGAAAAAUCCCAAAAAAAUAAAAAAAUAAAAAAAUAAAAGAAAGAGCGAGCUCACCAUAAUAAAACUGAGCCAUCCCACACUUUUACUAUCCACCCAUCUCUCCUUUCCAAAUUGCAUACAUUCCCUUGCGCUUUCUCUCUCUGCUUCUCUCUAUCUACAAAAAGACACAUUCACUUUGUCUCUCUCUUUAUCUUUCUCUGCCUGUGAGGUAUGAACACCCACAAAAGCUACAGUUCUCCAGAUUCUUUCUUCUCUUAAUAAUCACAGUUUGUUUCUUUCCCUUUUUUAAUUCAAAUUUCUCAGAUUCUUUACUUUCCUUCAACUCUCUCCAAUUCCAUAUUUUCCUUUCCUUUUCUCUCUUUUUUCUCUUAAAUCUCUCUUAAUUACCUCAGAUUCCUACCAAAAUUCCUUUCUCCCUCCCUCUAAAGCUCCUGUUUUUCAGAAUCAUUGUCAAAGUUAUUCCCUUUCUACGGCUUUUAACGUGGGAGAUAUGAAUUGAAGCUGAAUUGUCAAAGUUAUUCCUUUUCUCUCUUUGUUUGAUUUUUUAAUGAGAUUGGCUUAUUCUCAAAAAAAAAAAAAAAAACCUCUUUAUGCUUAGAAUUUAAUUUUAGUUUAUGCUUUUUUUUUUAAUAGCAACCAAUUUAAAUUAUCUUUUAGGUUCUUCCGCAACAAUAGCUUUUUAAAUAACAACACUAAAUGUUAAUAAUAAAAUAAAACAUCUGAAUUAGAUUUUAGAUGUUAAAAUAAUAUUAUAUAAAAAGUUAACUCAUGUAACGUAUUUAAUUUUUAAUAUUUUAUUAAAAACUAUUUAAAAAUUAACUCGUGAAUCUAAUCAAACAGUUAAUACUAUUAAAACAAUUAAAAACAAUCGAACAGUUAAAAAAAUUUUGCCAAACAAAUACUUAUAUAUAAUCUAAUAUAAUAUAACUAAGAGAAAUUCAUGUAACUGUUGAGACCAUUAUAUUCCUUAUCAAGUAUAAAAGUCAUAGUCUAAAUAUUGAGGAAAAUUGACCUCACAGUCAUAAUUUAAUAAAUUUUUUUAAAAAAAUCAUAAUUAGAUAAUUAUGUAACUCUUGGUCAUAAUUUGAAAUUUUCAAGAAAUAUUUCAAGCAUCAAAAAUACUAUAUUAUUAAUUUAUUUAUUUAAUUGCUCAAAAAUAAAGAAUCCACUGUUAAUGUAUAGAUAAUCAAAAUAUAUUCACUGUCCAUUAUCCACAUUAAAACUAUCAUUUGAAAUUAUAUAUUGGAUAAUAGGUAACUUAUUAUAUAAAUUUACUUUAAAUUAAUAAUUAAUAUGUAUACUUCUCCCAUAAUUUUAAUGGGCAAAAAAAAAAAAAAAAAAAGGAAUUCUAUCCCUCUUGUUUAAUGGACUUCAUUUAGCUCAUUAAAGUAUUUGCUUAUAAAAUUUUUGUUUCAAAUUUAUAUUUUUUACGGUCAUUUUAUUUGUAGUUAUUGAAAAAUAAUUUCUUUAAAAUAUUAUUUUAAAAUUUUUAACUAUUAUUUUAUUAAUAUAAUACAUUAAAAUAAAAAUAAUAUAUUCGCUUUAAAUAUAUUUAUAUAUAUAUAAACAAUUAUACCUUUAAUAGUCAUUUUAUAUUUUAACAGCAACUAUUAUCAAUAUUUUACCAAAUACGAAUAUUAAUCAGUUAAUCACUAUCAAUCAUCAAUUAGCAACAACCGCUAUCAGCUAACAGCCUAUUACGAAUAGUUAAACCAAACAGGCCUUAAUAGAUCAACGUUCCCAAAUCUCAUCUCAGCUUAAAGUUCUAUCUUCUCCUCUCAACUCUCUCUCUCCCCUCUUUUAUUAUAUUGCUACAUCUUUUUAUUGUUAAUCAUGACAUUUUUUCCCCUUUAAGAAACCCUAAAAGUGCUUUUAAUGUUCAUGAAAACGAAACAGGAAAUUACAAAGAAGCUGAGAAGACGAUAAACAAUGGAUCUACCAAACAAUCUUUUUUUUCACCUUCAACAGGGACAUACAUGUUUUUAACCAAAAGAAAAGAAACAAAAAGAUAUAAACUUUGACUAAAUUGCACAUAUGCAACAUGCAUGUCCCUCUCCCACGCGUCUUAGGCUGGGCUCCACUGACGUGUCUCCCAUUAGUGUUUGGGGGGGAGGGUUUGUGUGAGUGCCUUAAAUUAUGAGGUUUGACUACUGGAUAGAAGUCUUUUUUUUUUUUUUGAAGGAAAAGUUUUGAGCCUAUCUUUGAUCACGUUUGAUACUUUAAUAAUAAAUAAAUAAUAUUCUCAUAAUUGCUUUUGUUACAAAUUAAAUUUAGAGAGAAAGGAAAUAUUAUUCCCAUAAACUAAUAUGAUAGACUGGAAUAUAAUAAAGAAAAAGGAUGGGUUAAAGUGUAAAUUAUGUAUUUUUUUUAAAAGUUUCACAGUGUUACAAAAAUCAAUAAUAAUUUAUAAUUCACAAUUUUAUCCUUGAUUAAUUUUUUAUUUUUAAAAAUAUUAAACUCAAAUUUAUUUAUUUAUUUAUACAAUAUCGUGACCUUUUCUCCAUUUAAGUGAAGGCCAUAUUGAAAUUGUUCCUCUGAAAUAUGUACAUGGCGGAUGGCCGAGUAUUAUUAUGCAGUUGUUAUAACAUAAAGAACGAGAAAAUCUAUGAUUCUCUAGAUUUUUAUAACUCUUACCCUCAACUGUUUUAGAAUUUUUAAAUCGUUAAUUAACAAUGAAAAAAUAAUUAUUUUGUCCCUGAAGUUUUAGAAAAUUAAUUAUUUCAUUCUCGUAUUUUUAUAUAUUGGAUAUGUAGUCUUUAAAAUUUGGUUUUGUCUCAUCAAAUGAUCUUUCUGUUUAAUUAUAGUGAUUUUUACCCGUUAAAUUACUAGUGAAAGGCUAAAACACCUCUUUCAUAAGAUAAAAAUUAAAACCACUAUCCCUCUUCUUCUCUCCAAAUCUCCAUUUCUGAUUCUACAACAAUUCAAAUUUUAAAAAAUAAAUUAAUGAAUACACUUGAAAAAUCUAAACUAUCAAAAGUAAAAGAUUCCAUAAAACCUAUUUCAAUUAACAAUGAAUACACUUGAUUUGUAUAAUUACAAUUUAUUGCUCACUUGUAAAACCUAUGUCAAUUGAAUCCAAUUGCUGAUGAGUAUAAAAAUCAUAGUAUAAAUACCGAGGAAAAUUGACCUCACAAUCGUAAUUUAAUAAUUUUUUUUUAAAUCAUAAUGAGAUAAUUACAUAACUCUUGGUCAUAAUUUGAAAAUUUCAAGAAAUAUUUCAAGUAUAAAAAAUACUAUAUUAUUAAUUUAUUUAUUUAAUUACUCAAAAAUCAAAGAAUCCACCAUUAAUGUCAUUAAUGUUUAGAUAAUCAAAAUGUAAUCACUGUCCAUUAUCCACAUUAAAACUAUCAUUUGAAAUGAUAUAUUGUAUGAUAGUUAACUUAUUAUAUAAAUUUACUUUAACAAAUUAAUAAUUAAUAUAUAUAUUCCUCGGUUCCAUAAUUUUAAUAGGCAAAAAAGAAAAUUAUUGAGAAUAUUUUGUAUUUAUACAUGAAAAGAGGGAGGAAAAGGGGGAAGAAAGAUACCAUAUGAACACCAUUAUUGCAAUAGUCAAAAAAGAAAAUUGAAGGAAAUAUCUUAUUCUUAUGCAUGGAAGGUGGGAGGAAAAGGGGGGAAGAAAGACACAAUAUGAACCCCAUUAAUGCAAUAGUCAAAAAAGAAAUUAAGGAAAUAUUUUAUACUUAUAUAUGGAAGGAGGAAGAAAAGACAUAACGACUUAGGUUACAUUUAUUUUCAGAAGACAUGAUGUUUUUCCUUGAAAAAUACUUUCCAAAUGAUUUUUUUUCGUUUUUUAGUUGUAAUAUUAAAAAUAAGUUAAAAAUAUUAAAAUUUAACUCAUAAGAGCAUAAAAAUAUUAAUAAUAGUAAUAGAAAUUUCAUAUUUUAAAAAUUUUAUUAUUAAAUAUGAGAAGAAUACAGAAAAAAGUAAAUUAUAAAAGAUGUCAAUGACCGUGAUAGUGGACGAUGGUAUCCACCGGUGGUGAAUGGUAAUUGAUAGUAAUAGCCACCGAUGGUUAAUAAAUUAAAAAUUAUAAAGUUAUAAUAAGUUUUUUAAUGUCAGAAAAAUAUUUUAAAGUCUUAAAAAUGAGAAGUCAUUUUCCUUCAAAAUGAUUUGAUUUUUCUUUAACCAAGAAAAUAAAUUCUCUUUACUUAUUUUCUUGAAUGCCCCAAACAAUGAAAAAUUAUAAAAAAUCUCAUCUUAGAGCUACGUCUUCUUCCUCUCAUCUCUCUCUCCUCUUUUAUUAUAUUGCUACACCUUUUUUAUUCUUAUUUUGUUAUAUUCUUCUCUUAACCAUGACAUUUUUUUCCCUCUAAGAAACCCUAAAAAUGCUUAUAAUUUUAAUGAAAACAAAACAAAAAAUUACAAAGAAGUUGGGAAGGCCAUAAAAAAGGGUCUACCAAACACUCUUUUUUUCACCUUUAUCAAAGAGUGAAUUUUUUGAACCAAAAAGAUAUAAACUUUGACUAAAUUGGACAAAUGCAUGUGCCUCUCUCACGUCCCUUCCUCUAUGUAUAUGUUCAAUUGUUCCUUUGGUCAUUUCUUUUUAACCAUUGACCUAUCUUUGCAAUGUUAUAUUUACUAUUUUGGCCCGCUAUUUAGUUAUAUAUGAUACAAAUUUUGCUCCAUUCAGUCACGAGUCACCUUAGAAAUAUCUUUACAAUUUCAUAAUAAUUAGCAAAUACUUUUGUGUUUGAAAAGACUCAAAACUGGUUCUCCUUACAAGAAAAGAUUAUUUAGUUACCCUUAUUGCUAUUUUAUUUUUUAGUAAGAAGACAUUUGUAAUCUUUUUUUUGUUUAAUUGUUCGCUAUUAGAUUUAUUAAAUAAAUACCAUCAACAAUGUAUUUUUUGAAGUGAUAAGCGACUUCAAUUUUCAGAAAAGUGAAAAUACUUGCACUUUAAUAGAAGUAAAAAAAAACCUUUUCACUUAAGAAGAAUUAUAACUCUCAAUCGUGAGUAUAACUAUUAAGUAAUAGAUUGAUAGCAAUAGCACGAUACGAUUAUUUUUUGAUCCAAUAUAGGCACUUGAGCCUGCAUGAGAGUUUAGCUCAGCCCAAUUUGUCCCAACCCCGAACUCAUCAUGCAUGUAAGAUCCUUCGUACUGUCAAAUUUGCAAGUUUAUCCUAAUAGUUUGAUUUAGGAUUUUUUUUUUGAAAUCUAAUAAAUUAAAUAAAAUUGAAUAUUUCAAUUAUUAUGAGGUAAGAUGAAUUUAUUCAUCAAAAUUCAAUUUUUUACGGAAAAAUAUUCUCCAAAAAAAAUAUAAUUCCAAGAAAUUAUUAACUAUAGUAAGAUAAUCAUAAAAAUUUUCUAAGAAAAUAGCAUAAUUAUGACAAUUAAUAUUAUUUCCUCUGUCCCAAAAUAAAAGAUAUUUAAGUUUUUUUACAAGGAUCAAGGAAAUAAUUAAUGUUCCUAAUAUAACAAAAUCAAUGAUAAUUUAGUCAAAUAGUUACUCUUGUGAAAGUAGUUAUUCUAUAAGGUUAACAUUGAAAAAAAUCAUUUAUUAUUACUUAAAAUGCUCAAAACAAUUUAUAGUUUGUAACAAAAUAAUCACACAAAAAUAAAUUAUAUUUUGGAACAAAGAAAUAUUGUUAUAUAAUUUUAAAAUCUCUUAUUUUCAAUAGAAAUCUAAUUUUUUUCAACUUUUGAGACGAGAAAAUACAGUCAUGAAUGUAAAAAAGUAAAGAUAAGACAUAAAUGCUAAAAACUUAUUUUUUCUGAUAAAGUACUAAUCAAACAUUAAAAUUUAACACCAUUCAGUUAUGAUCUGAUCGAUCUUUCUACAAAAUAUAAAAAAUAUGUAGAGUGAAAGGUCUCGAAAAUAUUUUUGACAAAAAGGUUAUAAAUAUUCCUAUCAAUAUCAUAUCAAUUAACUUGGUAAUAAAAAUCCAUAAUUGCGAAGUCUUUAAACGAACAUCAUAUCAAAGAAAAUUACAGAAGAGCAAUAAAGAAAAAUGAUAUAAAUGACAUUUGUUUAUAUGCUCUGCUCAUUACAUGCGAUAUUCAGAAAUAUGCUCUGCUCAUUUCUAUCUAACCCAUCAUACCCUAGUUUUAGAGCAUCUUGAAUUCUCUUGUUCGGUAUGCUUUUCAAUUUGAGCAACUGGCUCUCCCAGUACUCUUUCUUCUUGCCAUAAAGGCUAGAGCUUAAAACUUUUAGUGCUAAUGGAUUGCCUUGAGCAUAACUUAUCACCUGCUCGGAUAGCUCCUCAUAUCCUUCUUUCGGUUCAUUUUGACGGAAAGCGUGCAAGCUAAAGAGUUGAUGAUCUUCCUUAUCAAUUAAUCCCUCAACCUGAUAAAUAUGUUCUUCAUGGCAAACGUUUCGAAGUACUUGUCCAUCUGUACUAGUAAUAAUUAUUCUACUUCCCUUACGGUACAAACUACAGUUUCCAGCUAGAAGAUCUAAAUCGUGUGAAUCAUCAACGUCAUCAAAAACAAUAAGAACUGUCUUACGUUGCAGCCUCCUCAAAAUCCAGUCAUCUAAAACUAAAAGAGGUGAGCCCAUUUUCAAAUUUUCCUCUCCCAAUAGUGAACGAAUGAUUUUAUCCCGUAAAACAAUUGCUGUUUCCUUCCUUAUCUGUUCCUUGACAUUUAAAACAAAGCAGUAGGCAUCAAAUUUAGCCUUGAUUUGGGAAAACACAAUACCGGCAAUAGUUGUCUUUCCAAUUCCAGCCAUUCCCCAAAUUCCUAUUAUCCAAUUUCUGUCAUUUACAUCAAUAUCCAAUAACGAUAUUACUUCCUCGACACGCGAAUCAAUUCCAACUAACUUGCCAUGAUGGUAACUAGCAUUUGAUGGCAUAUGACUUAAUAUCUCUGAAACACGAUUGACGAUUCUUUGAACUAGCAGUUGGUCAUUCCUGAUGACAUAUGAACAACAAAAAGUAAAAUAUAUUCUAGAAUAGAAUCAAUUUAAGUGUUUGGAAAAACUGGGUGGGUAAAACCCAUGAUUGAAGGAAUAGGAGAAAACGAAACAGAAUUUUGACAAGAAAAUUAAAAUAAGUGAGAGUUCAAAGGAGUAGAUAUCGUGACUAAAAGCCAUCUAUCGUGUGCGCAAGAUUGAUCUAUUAUUGAUGAAUAGAAAAUAAAAAGACAUGGAAAAGUAAACAGGGGAAAAUGAUAACUUUACUUGAUCUCAUUCGAAACAAAAGCACUUAAGUUGCUGAUUGUCUUCAAAGCAUGGCACCAUCCACCCAGGUUGUGUGAACUAUCGCUGUGAUCUUUUAAAAGCCUAGCAAGUGCCCUUGCGAAAGGGCCUCUCAGCUCUUGAACAUCAGUUGGAUCUACACGGUAAAAAACUGGCAAAACNNNNNNNNNNNNNNNNNNNNNNNNNNNNNNNNNNNNNNNNNNNNNNNNNNNNNNNNNNNNNNNNNNNUAGUUUUUGGAGAAUAUGACGAUGGAAAUACGUGAUUCUUGAAUUGUUUGCUUGAGGGCUGGUGUCAUUUCAAUUCCUUUUUGAAGGUUUUCAUUUUUGAAGGUAUCGAUUCCUUUUUCCUUCAA